Paramisgurnus dabryanus is the source of this 847-nucleotide non-coding RNA. The record is from RefSeq and is a predicted model, not a curated record. NCBI's taxonomy places the organism in Eukaryota, Metazoa, Chordata, Actinopteri, Cypriniformes, Cobitidae.
CACAAAGCCAGCAAGAUGGUGUUCACUGUGGAUGAUUUGGGCUUUCAGCCUGGGAUGAACCUGUGGGUCUCUUUCAGGAUCCAACCCAGCUGUGAUGGGUUGUCAAUACAGCAGGAAAGUUUGCCAUUCUCGCUCUGACGGGAGGUGAGGGCACGUGAACGCGCAGAUGACGUAUGGUGUCUGAGUGAACAAGCUACGCGAUGACAUUCAAAUUACGCUUAUGGAUGAGGGAUAAAAAAAGGCAACGUCCGUUCGGACCGAGAUCUAUGAUUGGUUGAACAUUUUUGGUCCUACGCCUUUCACAGAUGACAUACAUUUCUACAAAUACAUUUAAACAACUUAACACAGUGAUUGCUAUCAGGAUGUGAGGAGACUUUUAACUAAAGCAUAACUAAAAAUGUUUCUGGAUCAAAUCUGAUACCCUGCCUUUAAAAAUGACAUAAACAAAUGACACUUAAUGACACUUGUCAUGAACGUGCAUAAAUCUUCUUCAUGUUCAUAAGACGUGUCAUGUCAUGAAUAUGAAGGUGUCAUAUCAAUCUUUUGAACACCCCUAUAAGUAAAGUGUUACCGAACUCUCUUCUAUACAUUACAUUAUUCCUAUCCUCGCUAGUACGAUUUAAUAGAGGCUGUACUCUUCUUCUUAUGUUGUCCACCGAAUUUUCUGUUUUUUCUCCUGCUUAUAUUAACCCUCAUAAGCCCCGAUUUUCCUGUAUACAUUAUAGUUCUGCGGGGAUAAAAUUCACAUAAAUUAUGAUCUAAAUUUGAUUUAAAUUGUUUUAAGGGUUGUGUGUUAAUCUAAAUGAAGUAGUUAUCUGUCAAAACUCUGAAUUGCUCCAGGUGAGGU